RNAcentral lists this small RNA (844 nucleotides) under Pan troglodytes (chimpanzee). Its description in RNAcentral is "processed transcript". The record is from RNAcentral. Lineage: Eukaryota; Metazoa; Chordata; Mammalia; Primates; Hominidae.
GGCUCCACCAUGGUGGAGGAGCAGUUUGCGGGCGGAGACCGUGCCCGGGCUUUUGCCCGGGACUUCGCCGCCCACCGCAAGAAGUCGGGGGCUCUGCCAGUGGCCUGGCUUGAACGGGCGAUGCGGUCAGUAGGGCUGGAGGUCUACACGCAGAGUUUCUCCCGGAAACUGCCCUUCCCAGAUGAGACCCACGAGCGCUAUAUGGUGUCGGGCACCAACGUGUACGGCAUCCUGCGGGCCCCGCGUGCUGCCAGCACCGAGUCGCUUGUGCUCACCGUGCCCUGUGGCUCUGACUCUACCAACAGCCAGGCUGUGGGGCUGCUGCUGGCACUGGCUGCCCACUUCCGGGGUGAGUCUCAGGGCUGCUGGCCGUGGAGGGGUUUGGUCAGUGCCCCAGACCCUGCUGAUCCUGCUUCUGGCCUCCAGGGCAGAUUUAUUGGGCCAAAGAUAUCAUCUUCCUGGUAACAGAACAUGACCUUCUGGGCACUGAGGCUUGGCUUGAAGCCUACCACGAUGUCAAUGUCACUGACCUUCUGCCAGAAAGGGGGCCUGUUGUGCACGCUUCAGGGCAAGCUGCAGCCCCAGGACUGGACAUCAUUGGAUGGACCGCUGCAGGGCCUGCAGACACUGCUGCUCAUGGUUCUGCGGCAGGCCUCCGGCCGCCCCCACGGCUCCCAUGGCCUCUUCCUGCGCUACCGUGUGGAGGCCCUAACCCUGCGUGGCAUCAAUAGCUUCCGCCAGUACAAGUAUGACCUGGUGGCAGUGGGCAAGGCUUUGGAGGGCAUGUUCCGCAAGCUCAACCACCUCCUGGAGCGCCUGCACCAGUCCUUCUUCCUCUACUUGC